Molecule: transfer RNA, 55 nt
Filed under: Gnathostomula paradoxa
Lineage: Eukaryota; Metazoa; Gnathostomulida; Bursovaginoidea; Gnathostomulidae
Description: tRNA-Gly
Source: RNAcentral
AUUUGCUUAGUAUAAAUAAUACACUAAUUUUCCAAAUUAGAAAUUUUAACAAAUU